UGAUUAAAUUUGUUUCUCAAGGAUCGAUGU
Molecule: non-coding RNA, 30 nt
Filed under: Mus musculus (house mouse)
Lineage: Eukaryota; Metazoa; Chordata; Mammalia; Rodentia; Muridae
Source: RNAcentral